Molecule: ribosomal RNA, 492 nt
Filed under: uncultured bacterium
Lineage: Bacteria
Description: partial 16S ribosomal RNA
Rfam family: Bacterial small subunit ribosomal RNA
Source: RNAcentral
AGUGAACGCUGGCGGUAGGCCUAACACAUGCAAGUCGAACGGCAGCACAGUAAGAGCUUGCUCUUACGGGUGGCGAGUGGCGGACGGGUGAGGAAUACAUCGGAAUCUACUUUUUCGUGGGGGAUAACGUAGGGAAACUUACGCUAAUACCGCAUACGACCUACGGGUGAAAGCAGGGGAUCUUCGGACCUUGCGCGAUUGAAUGAGCCGAUGUCGGAUUAGCUAGUUGGCGGGGUAAAGGCCCACCAAGGCGACGAUCCGUAGCUGGUCUGAGAGGAUGAUCAGCCACACUGGAACUGAGACACGGUCCAGACUCCUACGGGAGGCAGCAGUGGGGAAUAUUAGACAAUGGGCGCAAGCCUGAUCCAGCCAUGCCGCGUGAGUGAAGAAGGCCUUCGGGUUGUAAAGCCCUUUUGUUGGGAAAGAAAAGCAGCAGGUUAAUACCCCGCUGUUCUGACGGUACCCAAAGAAUAAGCACCGGCUAACUUCGUG